This 488-nucleotide ribosomal RNA is filed under the name uncultured bacterium. Its description in RNAcentral is "bacterial SSU rRNA". It matches the Rfam family "Bacterial small subunit ribosomal RNA", at positions 501 to 987 of the family's 1533-position model. The record is from RNAcentral.
CUACGUGCCAGCAGCCGCGGUAAUACGUAGGUGGCAAGCGUUGUCCGGAAUUAUUGGGCGUAAAGCGCGCGCAGGCGGAUUGGUCAGUCUGUCUUAAAAGUUCGGGGCUUAACCCCGUGAUGGGAUGGAAACUGCCAAUCUAGAGUAUCGGAGAGGAAAGUGGAAUUCCUGGUGUAGCGGUGGAAUGCGCAGAUAUCAGGAGGAACACCGAUGGCGAAGGCAGGUCUCUGGGCUGUAACUGACGCUGAGAAGCGAAAGCAUGGGGAGCGAACAGGAUUAGAUACCCUGGUAGUCCAUGCCGUAAACGUUGGGCACUAGGUGUGGGGGACAUUCCACGUUUUCCGCGCCGUAGCUAACGCAUUAAGUGCCCCGCCUGGGGAGUACGGCCGCAAGGCUAAAACUCAAAGAAAUUGACGGGGGCCCGCACAAGCGGCGGAGCAUGCGGAUUAAUUCGAUGCAACGCGAAGAACCUUACCAAGGCUUGACAU